AUUAUUCUAUUCUAUACUUGAAGGAAACAAAUUGAGAAAUUUACUAUAAGGAGACAUAACGGAACGUAGGAAACUGACGACAUUUGGCGCAUGUUCCCAAUUAUGGAGACUAGAAAUUUUUCCCGCGCCUUGCUGCGGAGUUUGUUUUUGUAAAUGAAUUAGAACAACGAAAUAGAAAAGGAACAUUGUUACAUAUUAUUGAAGUAGUCAAACAGUGUUUAUACACAUUACAUUUUAGUUGAAGCUUGUUCAACUGGAACUGGUGCAAAAAUGCUAGUUUUAUAGAAGGGUUAUUAGCUAAUCUAGCAAAGGUUGUUGCUGGAGCUUGUUCAAAAAGGUCAUCGCUCCCAAAAUGCUCUAGCUGGGAAACUUCUAUCUACCCUAGAAACUUCUACCUCAUAUCUCCAAUUUCCCAAAAAAUGAUCUAUCCCUGUUCAGUUGGUUUGUUAUCUAUCUAGCUAAUAAACUUUGCUCUUUUUUUUUUUUUUUUUUUUUUUCUGUAUCUUCUUGAUCCCAACAGCUUUGAUUCACUUUUGGUUUAAAUCUAGACAAAUAUAAUGAAAAUGAUGUCCUUUUCACUUUCUACCAUUCCUUGUAAAAAUUUAUAAAGAUGGAAAGAUAGUACUACCAUCCAAAGAGGCAAAGAUACUACCACCAGAGAUCCUCUAAGAAACAAUACAAAUCACAACAUCACACAAAUUGAAUAGAAGGUACAAUACACAAUAUAAAGCAGGUAUGUCAAUAUGGUUAGAUGAAGAGACUAAAGCCUAAUGUAACAAAUGAAAAGAGCUAAUCAUUCUGGACUUCAUGUGGUUUGUUGGUUGUUUUGGAGUUAUGAUUACUGUAUGGCAUGAGAAAAAAUUUGAUUUAUAGCUAGCAUAACCGUAGUGUUUUAAAAACUGCAGAUAACUAAGCCUAAUAACCUAAAAGACUCUCAAAUCAAAAGUAACAAAAAUAUACUCAAAACUAACUUGCUAUUAUUAUGAUUAUUAUUAUAAAUGCAUCAAACAACACCUACAAUAGACUUAAGACUAACAAAGCUUAGAAACUUUGGCUUUUCUCAUUUUUAAACUCCAAAGCCCGGUCUGCAUCCAUCUGCGCUCAGAUCAGAAUCUACGAAACCUGCAGACGCUAUCCUAACCCGGACUCUAGUUUCUGGUAGUACCUGAGCUUCUCGAGGUGUUCAUUGCUGAGAAACCGGCCAGUUGGUGGAGAAGUAGCUAUUGAAGAAGAGAAGAAAGAAGAGAAAGGGGAGAGACAACAUAUUUUGUACUUCCUUAGGAAAAUCGUUUUUUUUUAUUUAAUCUCUGUCUCCCACUAUUUUUGUCCACUACCACUACCACGCCACAUUCUUUCACUACCACCAAUAUUUUAAUCCCACUUUCAUUUUGUUUAUUUUGCACGCCAUCCACCAUCACCAGAAUUAUACACAGCUCUCUCUCUCUCUCAUAUUUAGCCAUGGUUGGCGACGGAAACCCCACAACAAAUCCUUCCACCUCCAUCAUCUGCAUCGUCAACCCCACCAAUCGUUCAUGUUCAGUAUCACAGCGACAAUUCACCAUUCCCUACCGGCGUCAUCCUAGAUGAAACCAAUUAUUCCCUUUGAUCUCAAGUCAUGGAGAUGCGAAUUGGUGCGCGCAACAAAGCCGGCUACCUUACCGGCACAGCCAUAAAACCAGCACUCGGAGAUUCCAACUAUGAUACGUGGGUCACUGACAACCACAAAGUCAAAAGUUGGCUUAUUGAUUCAAUGAUUCCAUCACUGAUGCAAAGAUUCAUUCGUCUUGGCACCGCACACGAAAUCUGGAAAGCUGUUUCCAAGACCUUUUAUGAUGGGUCUGAUGAGACCCGAAUUUUUUAGUUGAACCGGAAAUCAUUCACCACUGUAGACCUCUCUCUACAUAUUAUAAUGAAUUGAUUGCUAUUUUUCAAGAAAUUGAUCAGAGGAGCACAACUCAAGAAGACAUGGUGGAAGGAGUUAUUCAGCUCAGCACUUCUAUGAAGAGACUGCGGGUUCAUAUCUUCUUGAGUGGUCUUGAUUCAGACUUUGACCAGGUACGUGGAGAAAUUUUGCGGAAGGAACCAAAGCUGGAUCUUGAAAGCAGUUAUGCCUAUGUGCAUGCGUAUGGUGGAGCAACAAAAGAAGACUAUGGGAACUUCUUCAGUGAAUACAGAAAGUACAGUUAUGGCUGUCAAUAGACUUAACCUGGAGGGCUCCGCUGCAAUUACCAAUCGUCCUAGACAAGGUCCACCUCCUGGAUUCCCACAAACAAAACCUGGAGCUUCUCAACAAAGUUUUCAGCCUCGUAAUAGCUUUUCCAUCCGACCCGGUGGUUUGGUGUGUCAUCAUUGUGGGGAAGCUGGUAACUCUAAGUCGAAAUGUUAUGAAAUUGUGGGUUAUCCAGAAUGGUGGGAUUUCACCAACAGCCUCGAAAGAACAUUAAAGGCAAAGCUGCAGUUGCAACUACGGAAACAUCUAAAAAAACAGAUACUCGCUCGCUGCCACAAGCAAAUGUGACUCAAACAGGUAACCUUGGUAGGUCUCUCAAUGUUAAUGCUGGUGCUAGUAAUACUACAUGGAUAAUUGAUACAGGUGCAUCCGACCACAUGACUAAUGACCCAAAUCUACUCCAAUUCAUCAAACCAUCCACUCAAGCCAUUAUCUCUACUGCAGAUGGUAGUCCUUCUCCAGUCACUGGAGAGGGUUAUGCAAUUUUAUCUCCUUCCUUAACCUUGGAUACUGUUCUUAAUUAUUGUCCCAUCUUUAGCUUAUAGCUUAUUAUCUGUCGGCCAAAUCACUGCGACCCUAUCCUGUCUAGUAAUUUUUUGGCCUGCAUUUUGUAUAUUUCAGGACAUCCUAACCCGGAAGAUUCUUGGCUUUGGUGUUAGAAGGGGCAAUUUGUACUACCUCGACUUAACAGACAAGGGAAAUCAGAAAUUGGGACAAGCACACAAGGCCGGGGGAGUAGAAGAUGCAAAAGCAGCAGUAUGGUUAUGGCAUCGUCGUUUGGGUCAUUUGUUGUUUGGAUAUCUUCGAAAGUUGAAGCCUCAUUUGUUUUCAAUUGUGAGUGAUUCUGAUUUUAAGUGUCAUAUUUGUGAACUGGCCAAAAGCCACCGUAUUUCGUAUUCACCAAGUUUUAAUAAAAGUUCAAUUCCAUUCAUGACUGUCCACUCUGAUGUUUGGGGACCGGCUAAAUAUUCUACUAUGUCAGGUGCUAAAUACUUUGUUACUUUUAUUGAUGAGUGCACCCGGAUGACAUGGGUAAUGUUGAUGAAGAAUAAGUGGGAAUUAUGUCAGGCGUUUCAAGCCUUUCACAAGAUGGUUUCUAGCCAGUACUAGAGAAAGAUUCAGGUCCUUCAGUCAGAUAAUGGGGGUGAGUAUACGAGUAAUGCCAUGGCAGAGUUUUGCCAGUCUCAAGGCAUUCGCCAUCAAACUUCUUGUGCUUACACUCCGCAGCAAAAAUGGUCUAGCAGAACGAAAGAAUCGUCAGUUGUUAGAAGUUCUUCGUGCUUCUCUCUUUGGAAUGAAUGUGCCUCGUGAAUAUUGGGGUGAAGCAUUGAAGUCCGCAACAUAUCUCAUUAACCGAACUCCUUCUAGUGUAAUUAAUUUUGAGACUCCUCAACAAAAGUUAGGUAGAUUGAUCUCUGCUCCUACUUUACCUAAUUUGGAACCUCGAGUCUUCGGGUGCGUAGCAUAUGUACACAUUCCUAAACAUCUAUGGCACAAACUUGAUCCAUGUGCCGAGAGUAUAUGUUUGUGGGUUAUGCGGAGUUUAAAAAGGGGUAUCGGUGUUAUGAUCCUUAGACGAAGACUCUCCAUGUCUCUUUGGAUGUAUCUUUUCAUGAAAAUGAGGCUUACUUUACAGGCAAAUCUCAUGAGCCUUCUCUUCAGGGGGAGAAAAGGUAUAUUGAAGAGAAUUCUCAGGAUAUUUUUUCUGAAAUCGAAGAGGUGGAGGAAAGAUUGGUACAACAGGUUCUUUUCAACCCUUCAAAGGAAGGCACUAACUUGUCACAUUCCACUCCAGCUGCUCCUGCCAAUCCAGAGGAAUUUUUUGACCCACCAAAUAUUCUCAACCAGUCGGAUAGGCUAAUGGAACAAACUGAAGAAGAAGCUGAGUUGCCCCCUUCUACACCAAUGCAUGAACAUACUUCCCGGGAGACUCACCCACAGGUAAACCCUUGUCAAGAAGUAGUUUUGCAUAAUUCCAUAGAGUCUAAUCAUUCAUCUACUCCUAUAAGACCUGUUGAUCUUUGGAAUUCCCUUGUUUGUCCUAAGAUCAGGUUCAUACUGUUUCCUUGGAAUUCCCUUGACAGAAACUGGAAUGCUUGAUUGUCAAACAGUUGAGACACCUAUGGAGAUGAAUCACAGACUAGGUGAAUGGAAAGAUCAAGUUCCCACAAAUAAGUCCAGAUUGGGCAGGUUCAAAGGUAGAUAGAAGAUCUACUUCGGGAUACUUUACCUUUGAUGGAGGUAACCUCGUGACAUGGCGAAGUAAGAAGCAGAAAGUGGUUGCAAGAUCUAGUGCUGAAGCAGAGUUCAGAGGCAUGGCACAUGAAGUUUGUGAGCUGCUGUGGAUUAGACAUAUGUUGAAAGAUUUGGGCUUCAAGAGUAGGAAGACAAUGGACUUACAUUGUGAUAACAAGGCUGCAAUUGAAAUAGCACAUAAUCCAGUUCAACCUGACCGUACAAAGCAUGUGGAGGUAGAUUGACACUUCAUUAAGGAAAAUUUGGACCGAAAAAUAAUUCUGUUUCCGUUUGUCCAAUCAGAAGAACAGCUAGCAGAUAUUCUAACCAAAGCAGUUUCAGGGAAAGUAUUUAACAGCUCUCUUGACAAGUUGGGCAUGAUUGACAUCUACGCUCCAACUUGAGGGGGAGUGUUGGAAUGAGCUGUAUUCAACUCCUCAAAAGACAUAAUCAGUGUUACAACCACUUAAAGAACAUAAUCAUUUAGGAUAUUUUUUUUUAUUGUAUGCACUAUUAAUUGUCUUUCAUAUUGUAUUCAAAUAUAGCUGUAUAUAUAGACCUCCUCACGGAGAAGAAUAAAAACACACAAGAAUUAUUCAUAUA
Molecule: long non-coding RNA, 5068 nt
Organism: Rosa rugosa (rugosa rose)
Lineage: Eukaryota; Viridiplantae; Streptophyta; Magnoliopsida; Rosales; Rosaceae
Exons: 2
Source: RefSeq, a predicted model, not a curated record